UACGUAGGGUGCAAGCGUUAAUCGGAAUUACUGGGCGUAAAGCGUACGCAGGCGGCUUUGCAAGACAGGUGUGAAAUCCCCGGGCCUAACCUGGGAACUGCAUUUGUGACUGCAUGGCUAGAGUCUGUCAGAGGGGGGUGGAAUUCCACGUGUAGCAGUGAAAUGCGUAGAGAUGUGGAAGAACACCGAUGGCGAAGGCAGCCCCCUGGGAUGAGACUGACGCUCAUGUACGAAAGCGUGGGGAGCAAAC
Molecule: ribosomal RNA, 250 nt
Filed under: uncultured bacterium
Lineage: Bacteria
Description: partial 16S ribosomal RNA
Rfam family: Bacterial small subunit ribosomal RNA
Source: RNAcentral